Tetranychus urticae (two-spotted spider mite) is the source of this 688-nucleotide non-coding RNA. The record is from RefSeq and is a predicted model, not a curated record. Lineage: Eukaryota; Metazoa; Arthropoda; Arachnida; Trombidiformes; Tetranychidae.
GUUGCAAAUUAUGGACCAGACCGGAAAGAAAAUCACAUAUAAGAGAAAUGAGAAAAGGAAUGUUUCAUAUUAAAAGAUAUUACAUUUGGUGAUAUUUUGCUGCUCAGUUUGUUGGUCUUUUCUGUCAAACCAAAAUGGCCUUUGAAUGUUCCUCAAUUGUUGUCUUAUUUUAUCGUUUCUGGUAAUAGUUUGGUCCAUUACAUCUUAAUACUCAACUCUAAUGUCCUGAUACACAAAUCUAUUUCGUCGUAACCAAACAUGUUUAAAAAAACUUUGCCAGGCUUAACUCAUAUAUUAAUGUCUAACAUAAUCAGUUAAACCUUUCAAUUUGUUUAAGAGAAAAUAUAAUUUGUACACAAAAAAAGGUCUUUUCAACCUUAUUUCAUGUUAUCCUACGCAUGGUUUAUCUGCCUGUUUUUAGACGAAAUGGUGUUAUAUUGGAAUGGCAAAUUGUGAAUCAUAAAAUUAAUGGUAUUAAUAAAGAUGAUAAUGAUGUUUACUUUUCACACUAAUGAUAAAUCUUCCAAGAAAGCAAAAAAAAGAUAAUUGUCAAUUUGUGAUUAUUUUGGGAAAACCAGUUUGUUGGAUUUUGCUGAAUUGAACUGAUUCCAGAAUUACCAGACAUUGAUAAACAUGGAACACAAUGGACACUAUUUGUUUUGUUUUGUAUUCGAGAUGAAGGUUUAUA